UGAUUUAUAGAAAUAAGGAGGUGGUGGUGAAGGAGAAGGUGGAGGUGGUGAUUUGUAGUAGUAAGGUGGUGGCGGAGAGGGAGAUGGAGGAGGUGGAGACUUGUAGUAGUAACGAGGUGGAGGAGAUGGUGAUGGGGGUGGUGGGGACUUAUAGUAGUAUGGAGAAUGUGGUGAUGGAGAGGGUGAUGGUGGUGAUUUGUAGUGGUAAGGUGGAUACUCAUGCUGGUAAUACGGUGGUGGAGGUGGAGAUGCAUAAAUGUAAGGCUUGUCGUCUGCAGCUACAUUACUGGCUAUCAAGCAAAACGCCAAAGCAAAAACUAGAUGAGGCCAAAAAUUGGCCAUUUCCAGCAACCCUUAAGUCUGAUCCCCAAAAUGCAGGACUUCUACCUCAAAACUUCUAUAGAAGGAACUUGUGAAUGACUGGAAACGAGGGGCUCUGCAGAGCAUUUAUAGUGAUCUUUUGAGUAAGUGCAGCAUUUGUUUAAUAGUUGUUGAAAGCUUCCAACUUGUAAAAUACCUAACAAUUUGAAAAAGUAUCCCAAGUUAUUCAAGUAUUUGACAAUAUGUCAUGGGAUUCCACUACUCUCUUGAUGGAUUAGAUGCACUAAAGAUACAUGUCUAAGAAGAGGUCAAAAGAACUAAUGUGAGAAAAUUUCAGGGUCUCAGAAAAUCUUCCAUGUAGCCAUGCCAAAUGGAUGCCAGCAGCUAGCCUGCCGGCCAUCAGCUGACAAGUACAACAGCUAGGGCCAGCCGGUGGAUUAUUAAUAAUGAUAAUUGUAGGUCUUGGAUCUCACAUAGACUUGGUCUUCCUACCAAAUAUCAAGAACUUGGACACAUAUGUACAGAAUAUUUGGCAUAAAGCUGAAAAAUCAUUCCAACAAUGAAGUUGGUUGAUGUUAAUUAAGUCUAGAAAUUUAAUUUACUGAAAAAUCUUUCUACUCUUUGUUCUUCUCUUCUAUAUAUUAAUUUGUCUUCUAUUUCAGCCAUGAAUUCUUUGAAAUUUUCUUCGACUAACAUAUAUAUAUAUAUAUAUGGGCAAUUUUUUUUCCUUUUCUACAUUUAAAUUUCCAGUCAUUGGUAUAACUACAAUAUGCAAUACUGGGUAUGAAUCAUGAACAAGAUUAACAUUCUAGCUGCUUUUGUCUGGUUUGGUCCAUGCAAAGGUACCUGUGAUUAUCAAGUUUUCAAUAUAAGUUAGUUUAGCUUGUCUUUUAUGUUCAUUAAAAAGACCAGUUCCAAACCUCUAGCCAAUAAAAUAGAUGCAGUGACAAUCAAAAAGUCAUUUGUGAAGAAGAAGAUAGGGUGAUGAGGCAUGAAAUGUUCAAGGACAUACUAGUUAGAUUUCUUUUAGUUUUUGUAUCCUUUUCUAGGAUUCCUUGUCAGUUACAUUGAUUUGGUAUAUUGUAUGUAAAGAGAAAUUUGAUGACAUCUCCAAUGGGAAUCAGUUGCCAUCGGCACUUGUCUUUCCCAUUAUAAAGCAAAUUAACCAAGUCAAGAUGAAGCUUGGUUGUCCUACACCAUUAUCUGCCAUCAAUUAAUUAUAUUCCAAGUUGAUUGAAAUGAUUAUACUAGUUAACGAGAUCGCUCCAUUUAUAUUCGGACAGUGCUUGCCAUCACUAUCUGAAAUGGAACUAUUAGAUAAGAAAUUUGUUGAGGCCAUUUAGCUACAGCUUACAUACAAUGUCAAAUAUGAAAUUUUUGCCAUCACUAUCAGUCCACAUUCAUACAAACUGUUUAAAUGCUAGCUAGGAAGAAGCUACUUAGAGAUCUUGUUCAUUUUGAAAUACAAAUUUUAACUGGAAAAUUCAUCAUGAUGUGCUUGAGAUAUGAAUAUAUAGGUUUAUAGAUUAUUUAAGGAUUUCCAUUAUUCUGACUAAUUCUGCCAGAAGUUCUCCAUUGUCUCCCUAUAGCUAGUUUGUAUUCUCUUUUUUUUUGUUUAAAUAUUUUAGGAGAAGGUUUUAACAAGGCAAGUUUCACCCUAAUAUGACAAAAGCAAGAAGAUGAACCUACUUCGGUUGCAGACAAUAUUAUUGUACUAGAUUUUUGGGCUACUAAUGGCUUAUUAGCCUUUAGGAGGCUUUCAAUCCUGGAACAUUGAAUUAAUUUAUAGGUUUUAAACCUAUUAUUUUCUGUUUCAAUGACAUUUAAGAUUUUAGUUAUUUGAAAAUUGGGAUAAGCUUUAUGGCUAAGUUGGAAGAGCUUUUAUAAAAACUAGAAGAAGUCAUAAUGUUCCUUCAUUUUGUACAUAAAUUUUAUGUAUUCAUUAUGAUACAUAUCUUUUUCUUCUUCAAAAAAGGUUUCAAGAAACCAUUUUCUAGCUUUGGAAUUUUUCUUAGAAUAGAAAUGCUCUUUAAGCAGUUCUUUAUUUAUCUCAACGUUAUUAACUUGUAUCACCAUUGGGUGAUUGAUGUCUGCAUAGCCAAUGCCGAACAAAGUGGGAGUUCCUAAUCUCCUAGAGGAUGCUUCAAAUGGUGGGAUUUCGACCCUAUAUAUUGGUUUAUUAAUGUGGUUAGAACUUUCCCAAACUCCUUCGCAGGUUUCCUUCCUCGAAAUUUGUAUUGGAACCGAAGAUGUAGACCUUCUCAAAGAUGGUCUAGAUGACUCUUUAGUCUCUAUCUUUAUAUUUCUAGAAGGAAAUCUUAUUUAUACUUAGUCAUCUUUAUGCUCAAUGAUAUUAGAAGGUUUCAUAGAAACAGGAACUUCAACUGGAACAACAUCUAGUAAUUUCUAAAUUUCAAAACCUCAAUAUCUUCCCAUCUAACCUUCUAUGGGACAAACACUUUUAAUUUUAAAAUAUUUGUUUGAAAUAGGGUAGUUUCUCUCCUUUUAUCCUUUAAGGCUUUCUCUAGCCUAACAUUAGGACUAAUUGUUGUCAUGGUUUUACAAAAUAUUCUUUAAAUUAGCACCAUAUUUUGGGCUAACAGAUUCAUAUCAAAACCAAUGGUUUUAAUAUUUAGGGUUAAAACGUCUAGAAUAAUUGGAUCAAUAAGAGAGAUAGAAAAAUUUGGGAAACAGUUAAAAUAAACUAAUCCCUAUGUUACUAACCCUAACAAAGAAUCCAAAUAUUGGUUGUGCUUGGUAUCUCUUAAGCUUAUAAGCACUGAGUUAUUAAGCCCUUCUCUAGUUAGAAGCUUAAUAGCUAUUUGCACUAGCCCUAAAUGAAGGAAUUUAUAAUCUUCUUGGGCUUUUUCUAUUAUCCUUCUAGGUAAUAGUUUGAAUGUCGUCUGUUUUUUAAUAAUAGCAAGAAUUUCUUCUACUGUUUGAUAUGAUAAUCUGAACGGAAUUCAUAAGUUCCUCUAUUACAGACUAAUUUAGAGGAUGCAUGUUUUGGGAAUCAUCCAGUUUUGAAGAUGAUCCUUUAUAUCUGCUAUAGAAACAAUUUUUUAUUUUUAGAAGAUAGUCUUAAGGUAAAAAAAGAGCAAAAUAAAUUGGCUAUGAUGAGAGGAGUCAAGAAUAUCUAAACUUCAAAAUUAAAGCUCUCUGUAGGAUCGGACAACGAUUAAUAUUGCUAUACUACCCUUCCUGGGUCUGACUAGGCUAUGUGUCAAAGUCCAAAGAGUAACCCUUCAAUAUGAGAUAUUAUCUCUCCCUAACUGACUCUGAUACCAUUCUAGCCUAGAAUAUACAUAUAUAUGUAUAUAAUUAAACAUAAUUAAACAGUAAGCAUACUUAGACAGUUUCAAAUAUAGUCGAACAUAUACUAGCAAAUCAAUAAGGAAUAAAGAGAAAUCUUAUAAGAAACCGAGGGGAAUCUUACACUCAAAAGGACAGAGGAGUUGUUACAAGCCUAUACUUUAAUUCACCGAGCACCCUCACAUGAACACCCAAAAGAUCACUUCAAACACUCAGGCAUACACUCAGAAGCUUAGUAAGGAAUGAUUCCUUAGUAAGAAAAGAGUAAAUAAAAAAUUUAAUAUAAAUUAAAGACUAAAUAAACAAGGCCUCAUCCUCAGCUUUAAAUAAUUUUUUUUUAAUAUAAUUAAGACAAAUUUUGAAUAUUUGAAAUUUCAACUGAUCACAGAUCAGGCAUCCUUGAAGGCUAUCAGUCACUUGACUACUUCUAGAUGAGUUAUAAAAUUGCUUGAGAAAUUAUCUGCUUUAGCCAGUUAAUUUCUAGGCAAAUGUUCAACAGGUUACUCAGAAUACCCUCCAUAAUAGAAUGAGCCGAGUCGAAAGCACUAAUUAUACUAGAGAUACAUGCAAUAUGGGUAUAAAUAAAAGUGAAUACUGUGAACCCUUUGAGCAGUGAAGGAAAAAAAAAUGGUCUCAGAACCUUUCGAGUCCUUAAGAGACUUAGAAAUUUUGCAAGGAUCGAUACUUAAAUUAAUGAGCCAAAUUUGAAUAUUGAUGGAAAAGCACAUCAAAGCUAGUAACUUAGCCAUGGCCAGCAUGCAUCAAAGCUUGCUGGCAUUAGAAAUGUACUAUGAUGGAAACUGCCGUGAAGCAGCACUACUAGAUGCAGCUUAACAAUGUUUCACAUGUUGAAACUCUCUGCGGGCUUUGCUCAACUUGCGAGCCACGCAUUUCUAUAUUUUCAAUUUCUAAUUGUUUACUCUGGGCUUUUUGCUCAUAAAUGAAGUUUUGCCUUUGAUCCAUCUGGGGCACAUUCUCACAUUCAAAUCACUGCAAAAAUUCCUUUUUAUUUCAAUAUCAGUAACAUAAUUUGUAGACAGUGAAUGGAUAAACACGAUCCUGAGGAAAAAAAUCAAUCGUAAUAUACUUAGAUUCAUGACUCAUGAAUACAAAUAAAAUCAAAAUCACAUGAAGAAAGGCAAAGAAGCAUCCAUGGGCUUUGACCCUUAUUCUGAACGCCAUUGUCUUCUUUGAGUUUAACUGGUCGUCAAUGUAUCCCCAAAGAACAUGUGGCUCCUUCUUUUAUUAAUUACUUUUCUAUCAACCAAUGAGCUGCAAAAAAGAUAAUAAAAACAUUAAUUUCAUAAAAAUAAUAAAAACCAGGAGUGAAUAAGCUGAAACAUAAGUGUUAUGCUUACAUAAAACAAGUAGAAAUGGCCGAUCUUUUAGUAAUGGUAUGGAGGUGGUGGUGAUGGAGAAGGUGGAGGUGGAGACUUGUAGUAGGGUGGAGGGGGUGAGGGAGAUGGUGGUGGUGGAGAUUUGUAGUAAUAAGGUGGGGGAGGUGAUGGAGAAGGUGGUGGUGGAGACUUAUAAACAUAUGGAGGAGGAGGUGAUGGAGAUGGUGGUGGUGGGGAUUUGUAAAUGUAAGGAGGCGGAGGUGAUGGAGAAGGUGGUGGUGGGGANNNNNNNNNNNNNNNNNNNNNNNNNNNNNNNNNNNNNNNNNNNNNNNNNNNNNNNNNNNNNNNNNNNNNNNNNNNNNNNNNNNNNNNNNNNNNNNNNNNNGAUGAAGAAGAUGGUGGUGGUGAUUAAUAGAAAGAAGAAGGAGGUGGAGAUGAAGAAGGUGGUGGUGGAGAUUUAUAAAUAUAAGGAGUAGGAGGUGAUGGUGAUGGAGGAGGUGGGGAUUAAUAAACAUAUGGAGGAGGUGGUGAUGGUGAAGGUGGUGGUGGUGAUUUAUAAAUAUAAGGAGGAGGAGGUGAAGGAGAUGAAGGAGGUGGAGAUUUGUAAACAUAUGGAGGUGGAGGUAAGGGAGAUGGUGGUGGAGAUUUGUGAAUAUAAGGAGGGGGAGGUGAUGGUGAUGGAGGAGGUGGGGACUUAUAGAUAUAUGGAGGAGGUGGUGAUGGUGAAGGUGGUGGUGGUGAUUUGUAGAUGUAAGGUGGAGGAGGUGAAGGAGAUGGAGGAGGUGGUGAAUUGUAAACAUACGGAGGAGGAGGUGAGGGAGAUGGUGGUGGUGGUGAAUUGUAAACAUACGGAGGUGGAGGUGAGGGAGAUGGUGGUGGUGGGGAUUUAUAAAUGUAAGGAGGGGGAGGUGAUGGUGAUGGAGGAGGUGGAGACUUGUAAACAUAAGGAGGANNNNNNNNNNNNNNNNNNNNNNNNNNNNNNNNNNNNNNNNNNNNNNNNNNNNNNNNNNNNNNNNNNNNNNNNNNNNNNNNNNNNNNNNNNNNNNNNNNNNNNNNNNNNNNNNNNNNNNNNNNNNNNNNNNNNNNNNNNNNNNNNNNNNNNNNNNNNNNNNNNNNNNNNNNNNNNNNNNNNNNNNNNNNNNNNNNNNNNNNNNNNNNNNNNNNNNNNNNNNNNNNNNNNNNNNNNNNNNNNNNNNNNNNNNNNNNNNNNNNNNNNNNNNNNNNNNNNNNNNNNNNNNNNNNNNNNNNNNNNNNNNNNNNNNNNNNNNNNNNNNNNNNNNNNNNNNNNNNNNNNNNNNNNNNNNNNNNNNNNNGAGGAGGUGGUGACUUGUAAUAGUGGGAGUGGAGGAGAUGGAGAUGGUGGCGGGUGGUGAUUUAUAGAAAUAAGGAGAUGGUGGUGAAGGAGAAGGUGGAGGUGGUGAUUUGUAGUAGUAAGGUGGUGGCGGAGAGGGAGAUGGAGGAGGUGGAGACUUGUAGUAGUAACGAGGUGGAGGAGAUGGUGAUGAGGGUGGUGGGGACUUAUAGUAGUAUGGAGAAUGUGGUGAUGGUGGUGAUUUGUAGCGGUAAGGCGGAUACUCAUGCUGGUAAUAAGGUGGUGGAGGCGGAGAUGCAUAAAUGUAAGGCUUGUCGUCCGCAGCUACAUUACUGGCUAUCAAGCAAAACGCCAAGGCAAAAACUAGAUGAGGCCAAAAAUUGGCCAUUUCCAGCAACCCUUAAGUCUGAUCCCCAAUAUGCAGGACUUCUACCUCAAAACGUCUGUAGAAGGAACUUAUUAAUGACUGGAAACGAGGGGCUCUGCAGAGCUUUUAUAGUGAUCUUCUGAGCAAGUGCAGCAUUUGUUUAAUAGUUGUUGAAAGCUUCCAACUUGUAAAAUACCUAACAUUUUGAAAAAGUAUCCCACGUUAUUAAAUUAUUUGACAACAUGUUAAGGAUUCCACUAUAGACUAAAUAUACAUGUCUAAGAAGAGGUCAAAAUAACUAAUGUGAGAAAAUAUCAGGGUCUCAGAAAAUCUUCCAUGUAGCCAUGUCAAAUGGAUGCCAGCAGCUAGCCUGCCGGCCAUCAGUUGACAACGAUAGCUAGGGCCAGCCGGUGGAUUAUUAAUAAUGAUAAUUGUAGGUCUUGGAUCUCACAUAGACAUUUGUCUUCCUACCAAAUAUCAAGAGCUUGUAUACAUAUUUACAGAAUAUUUGGCAUAAAGUUGAAAAAACAUUCCCAGAGUGAAGUUGGUUGAUGUUAAUAAAGUCUAGAAAUUUAAUAUACUGAAAUUGUAUAUAACUAGAUAUAAAUCAAUAACAAUAUAGAUAAAUGUAUGCUUUUUAUGUGGAUUUUUUUUUUGAGAGCCAAAAAAUCAUAAAUUAAUCAAUGGAUUAAUUUCUUUGUGCCCUUUGUUCUUCUCUUCUAUAUAUUAAUUUGUCUUCCAUUUCAGCCAUGAAUUAUUGAAAUUUUCUUCUAUAUGUUUUCCUUUUCUACAUUUAAAUUUCUAGUCAUUGGUAUAACUGCAUUCUAGCUGCUUUUGUCUGGUUCGGUCCAUGUAUAUGUACCUGUGAUUAUCAAGUUUGUCAAUAUAAGUUGGUUUAGGUUGUUCUUUUAUGUUCAUUAAAAGGACCGGAUCCAAACCUCUAGCCAAUAAAAUAGUUGCAGUGACAAUCAAAAAGUCAUUUGUGAAGAAGAAAAUAGGGUGAUGAGGUAUGAAAUGUUCAAAGACAUACUACUUAAUAUAUUUUUAUCGAUCUGCCAUCAAGUUGGUUGAAAUGGUUAUAAUAGUUAACUGGAUGGCUCCAUGUAUAUUCGGACAAUGGUUGCCACCACUAUCUGAAAUGGAACUAUAAAAUAAGAAAUUUGUUGAGGCCAUCUAGCUACAACUUAUAUACAAUGUCAAAUGUGAAUUAGGUUAGUUGUUCUACACCAUUUUUGCCAUCACUAUCAGUCCACAUUCAUACCAUCCAUUCAGGUGCCAGCUAGGAAUUAGAAGCUACUCGGAAAAUUCAUCAUGAUGUGCUUGAGAUCGAGACAUGAAUCGAUAGGUUUUUAGAUAUUUAAGGAUUAUUUAAUGUUUUUUUUUGUUAAUAAUUAAACCGAAUAAUUAUAAAUGGGGAGUACUCAUUUGCUAAACAGCAUUCUGAAUAAGCUAAGUUCUAGUUAGUUUGUUACUCUCUUCUUCCGGAUGCUAGUCGAUAGAUGAAAAUAGGGCCUUUGAUUCAGCAAGUAAGAAGUUAUGCUAACAAGCCAGAUUGAUUUAAAUGAUAAAGUAAUAACAGUGUACAGUAACAGCAAAAAGAAAGUAGGGAACUUGGUUUAGAAUUUUGCUUUCAAUAAGAUCCAAAUAGGAAGUUUUUUCGCUUCUAAAGUUGCAUUCAAGAACAUGGAGUUUCUAGUACUUAUCAGAGUCAUCCUUGAAGACCAUACUAUAGCCUGAUGGGCAAGAUAUCAUUACUUUCAUUAGUUAAUUUCUAAACUAGUAUGGAAGAUAUCAGUAGGCAGUUUGCUCUCCAUAUUAUAAUACUAUGUAUGAAACGCACCUCCAAAUUGAGGUUUGUUUUGUUUUUAAUAGGAAAAACUUUAAUUAACAAGGAAAAUUACUUGUAGCGAUGAGUAUAUGAAGUCAGGAUACAUUUUUCCCAUCAAGCCCAGGUAAAGAUCAAAGGUCUAGAGCACCCAAUCCAGCAGAAAAAUUCCAAAAUAAAAAUAAAAAUAAUUAGAUGAAAAAAUAUAUCAUUAAUUUCUUAAUGCUCAUUCCAAGCUUGAUAUGACUAGCUAGUACUGAGAUUAUUUAAGCAAUUUUUUAGUGCCUACUUUGAAUUUGGGAGGAGGAGACAGUGCAAGGAGAUAUAUAUUCUAGAGAUCCUUGAAGUUUGAAAUCUUCUUUCACUUAUUGCAAAAUGGUUAGGAUAUGUUGGGAUAGUGAGUCUUGUAUAGUUUGUUUAUUGGCAAUUUUGUUCCUUUUCAUUCUAACUUAGGAAUCUUUUUAGAUAUUGAUUUACUCUCCAUUGAAGAUUCAAGGUUAAAGACACUACUAUUCGUAUGACUCUUUCCUUGGCAUUGAGUCAAUAUUGGUCUAUAAGGGAACUUGAUGUUCAUGCCACCUUUCUUAAUGGUGACUUGUUUGAGCAAGUUUUCAUGACACAUGGUUGAUUCUAUAUGUAUAUAUAUUGCAUGUAAUGAGGGUAAAAAUCACAUCUUAGCUUAUAUUUUAGCACUAAACUCAUUCCCCAAGUAGUCAAUUGUAUGGUACCUUAUAUAUGCCCAAUUUUCUCACAUUUCCUUUUAUUUGUUGAUGUUUACAACUGCUUUCAUGAAUAAUGAUAGUCUUGAGAUCCUCUUAGGACAUUUUGUAGGCAAGAACAAUGUAUGAGUAGAGAAGGGUUACAGUCACAUGAAGAUCAAUGGUGUAGUCCUAUUUUGACUAGUCCAAAGUUUGAGGAUGGUUAAGGGGGUUAGAAAUGUUUAAAUGAACUCAAAUAAAAAUUUUCACAUUCUAGGCUCUUUAAUGAUCAAUCUCACCAAUUUUGAAAAUAUUUGGACAUCACUUGCCUAUGUAGAAAAAUUGAAAAAAAAUUGGUAAAAGAUUGGAGAAGCGUUGAAGGAGUUAAAGAGCUUUUUGGAAAAAAUGGCUCUAGGAUGGUGCCACCACAAGUUCAGACGUCAUUUCCUUUCUACCCUAGCUCCAUUUUGAGAAAAAGAAGCCUACCUACUAGAAACAAUGGCAUCAAGAUGACACUACCUUAUUACCUUGCACCAUUUUCUCCAAAACUACUAUCAUUUGUUUUAGAACUCUGAGAACAUCCAGGACCCACAUUUUUAUUGGACUUUUUCCAAGCCACCAUUGGACCUUCCACCUUGUAUUUUAUGCCUUCAUAUGUUAUGCCACUUAGGGCAAUGUGGGAGUACUUAUUUAAAGAGAUUUUACAAUUGGAGAAGGGGAUUUUGGGGGAAGGCCCUUUGGUGAGGAGCUCUUCUUCAACUUCCAACCUUGGGACUUGUUGCUACUUGAAUCUUCAUAAUGUUUUUUAGCCUUUAAGAGUUUUUUAACAUAUUAAACUCCUUUAUCUUGAUUGUGUUUGCAUUUAGUUAUAUUUAUUCUCCAAUUUUGUAUAACUUUGAAGUUUAAUCUUGGAUUUCAAUGGUUCUUAUUUCAUGUUUUGUUUUUUAAUAUUUAUUUUAAUUCAAUUUUCAUUUUGAGUAAUGGAUUAAGCUGAGGAGAAGGGGGUCCUUAGGACUUCCCUUAUGCCCAUGAUAUGAUCCUUUAAUCUUAGGUAAUUAAUUAUUUAUUCAACUUGUAAGUCAAACCUCUCCAUUUUUAAUUAGAAUACCACGUCUUGAUGAUUGAAAAUUAGAGUUUAGGGGUCCUCUUUAAGGAUAUCUCUCAAGUACUUAAUGGUGAGAUUCAUUUUAACUUGAGGCAACCAUUAUUGAGCUCUUAAUACUACAAUUUGGAAAACAAAUGAGUUGUGGGGUCUUUAAGAAUUUCACAUAGUGGUUCAACUCUCAAGUUUGAAGCAUUAGGUUUAAUUAAAUGUGCUUGUGUUGAAAAUUCUCCAACUGAGAAUGCCUAUAGAUAAUCUUGGUUGUGGUAGCUUAAUUAGGGUCUUUUCAUGGAAGGGAGCUUAAGAGACCCUCCUAUCCUUAGCACUUUUUUUUUUUUUUCAAAUCUUAUAAAGUCAAAUUUCAAUUCAAAUUCACUUGGUUUUUCCUCUAUUUUCCAUAAAAUUCAUCAUUUUUUUUCUUUUUUUCUUUUUUCAAGCAAUUGAGUGAAAGAGUUUGCCUAAAAAAAAAAUUUACUUAUCCUUUGAUCUUUUCAAUUCCCUUAUACACCUAAGACACCUCGUGAUCAACAUUCAAUUCAUUGGGAUUUUAAAACUACAAUCAACUCCCUAUAUUUGGGGAACCCCACUUUGGUAUGCAUAUUUGGAAGCAGUCAACACAACCCCUUAGUUUUGCAGGUCCUUCCCAACCCAAUUUUGUUUGCAAACUUACCAAGGCGUUCCAUGGUUUAAAGUAGGCUCUAUGGGCUUAGUUUACCAAGCUUAGUUCUGCCUUAGUUGAAUGAGGUUUUUCUCAACUUGAGAGCCACUUAUUUCUAUAUGUUUGAUUUCUUAUUGUUUUCUAUGUGGGCUUUGCUCACGAAUGAUUAUUAUAGAUAACCCUCGGUGAAGUUUUGCUUUUGAUCCAUCCGGUCAUAGCCAUAUAUUCGUGUGUUCAAAUCAAUGUAAAAAUUCCUUUUUAUUUCAAUAUCACUAACAUGCUAAGCAAACAGUGAAUGAAUAAAUAUCAUCCAGCAUAAAAAAAUCAAGAGAAAUAUUACUUAGAAUCAUGACUCAUGAGUACAUAUAAUAUCAAAGCCACGAGCAUGAAAAAAAGGCAAAGAAUCUUGCAUCCAUGGGUCAAAACCCUUAUUCUUAACGCCAUUGUCAUCUUUAAGGUUAAGUGGUCAGCAAUGUGCCUCCAAAGAACAUUUGGCUCCUUGUAUCAAUUACUCUUUCUAUCAACCAAUGAGCUGUAACAAAGAUUAUAAGAAUAUAAAUUCCAUAAAAAUGAUAAAAACCAUGAGUGAAUAAGUUGAAAUCUAAGUGUUAUACUUGCAUAAAACAAGUAGAAAUAGAUUAUUUUUUUUAGUAAUAGUAGGGAGGUGGUGGUGAUGGAGAAGGUGAAGAUGAAGACUUGUAGUAAUAGGAUGGAGGGGGCCAGGGAGAUGGUGGUGGAGGUGAUUUGUAGUAAUAAGGUGGGGGAGGCGAUGGAGAAGGUGGUGGUGGAGACUUAUAGACAUAUGGAGGAGGAGGUGAUGGGGAUGGAGGUGGUGGGGAUUUAUAAAUGUAAGGAGGCGGAGGUGAUGAAGAAGGUGGUGGUGGGGAUUUGUAGACAUAUGGAGGAAGUGGAGAUGGAGAGGGUGGUGGUGGUGAUUUGUAAAUAUAAGGAGGGGGAGGUGAUGGUGAUGGAGGAGGUGGUGAUUUAUAGACAUAUGGAGUAGGUGGUGAUGGUNNNNNNNNNNNNNNNNNNNNNNNNNNNNNNNNNNNNNNNNNNNNNNNNNNNNNNNNNNNNNNNNNNNNNNNNNNNNNNNNNNNNNNNNNNNNNNNNNNNNNNNNNNNNNNNNNNNNNNNNNNNNNAAAUCUGAUCCCCAAAAUGCAGGACUUCUACCUUAAACGUCUUGAAAGAACUUGUGAAUGACUGGAAACGAGGGGCUCUGUAGAGUUUUUAUAGUGAUCCUUUGUGCAAGUUCAGCAUUUGUUUAAUACUUGUUGAAAGCUUCCAACUUGUAAACUACCUAAUAAUUUGAAAAAGUAUCCCACAUUAUUCAAGUAUUUGACAAUAUGUUAAUGGAAUUCCACUACUCUCUCGAUGAGUUAGCUACACAGAAUAUAUACGUCUAAGAAGAAGUCAAAAUAACUAAUGUGAGAACAUUUCAGUGUUUGGAACUUUGAUGUCUGAAACAUUUUCCAUGUAACCACGUCAAAUUAAUGGCAGGUGACAGUGAUAUCUAGGGCCAGGCCAAUAGUUUAAUAAUAAUACUUGAAGAUCUUGGAUCUCACAUGGGCAUUCGUAUUCCUACCAAAUAUCAAGAAUUUGUGAAUAUACAAAGCUGAAAAACCAUUCAAACAAUCAAGCUGAUUGAUGUCAAGUCUAGAAAUUUAAUAUACGGAAAAUGUACAUAACUAGAUAUGAUAAAUUUAUGCUUUUUAUGUAGUGGUAGGUUCUUUGAUCAAUUGCUUUUAACUCUUUGUUCUAUCAUGACCAAGAUUAACAUUAUAGCUGCUUUUGUCCGGACCGGUCCAUGUAAGUAUACAUACAUGUGAUUGUCAAGCUUUCAAGAUAAGUGAGUUUAGUUUGUUCUUUCAUGUUCAUUGAAAAGACCAUUGCCAAAACCAGUAGCCAAUAAAGUAGAUGCAGUGACAAUCAAAAAGUCAUUUGUGAAGAAGAAAUGUUCAAAGACGUAGUACUUAAUAUAUUUCUUUUAGUUUUUGUCUCAGUUCUUUUCUAGGAUUCCCACUAGAAAGCAAACCAAGUCAACAUGAAGCUCAGUUGUCUCUCACCGUUAUCUGCCAUCAAUUAAUUAUAUUCCAAGUUGAUGGUCGAAAUGGUCAUGUAUACUAGCUAACUAGAUUGAUCUCGAACCAUAUAUAAUUGGACAAAGCUUGCCAUCACCAUCUGAAAUGGAACUGUUAGAUAAGACAUUUGUUAAGGCCAUUUAGCUAAGCUUACAGCUUACAUACAAUGUCCAUUAAAUCAAGGUGAAACUCAAUUAAUUAAUCUCACAAUCCUUUCAGUCGAGAUUCAGUAUACUAGCUGACUGCUCAUUUAAGUGCUCGGAAGAGGCUACUUAGAGUUCUCAAUUUUUUUUUUUUUUUCUUUUUCGAGAUACAAAUUUCAGCCGGAAAAUUCAUCAUGAUAUGCUUGAGAUAUGAAUAUAUAGGUUUUGGCAUUAUUUGAGGAUUUGCUUCACAAAUGGUGUUCUCCCACUCAAGGCUUCUAUAGGAGUCUUGUUCCAUUCUGCCUUAGUUGGACAUCUGUCAAUCAAAUUCACUGCUAUAUAAACAGCUUCAGCCCAAUAAGUUUAAGGAAGUUUCUUCUCAUGUAGCAAUGACUUAGCCUCCUUGAAACUAGGCUCGAACUUAUAUAUGUGCCUACUUUAGUGACAGCAUUUUCUAUGCAAGAAUUGAAGUUCAUUUAAGUGCAAACUAAAGUGAGUAUCAUAUUUAUUCCAAGAAUUUUUAGAAGUACAAGUUAAUGAUUCAAAAAAAGAAUCCUUGCAGCAGUUUAGAGAGUCAAGAUCAAUACUCGGAUGCUCAAGUGUAACAUGCAUGCCACAUUUGUUUAUGAAGCACCAGCACUCUGAUAAAGUAAUAAAAGCCGAAGAACUUAAUCAUGACCAUCAAAGCUUGCAAGUAAAUCGAGAUGUAUACAUUGAUGGAAAAUGUCACUCAGCAGUAAUUCUGUAUUUUUUUCCAGUUUGCUGAUUUAAUUUCUUUUAUUUGUUGGCUCUGUAUACAAUAAGUUCCGGAUAAUCCUCAUGGAAUUUGUCUCAUAGAAAGUUUUCCAAGAAAAUCUCAUGUAGUUUACUGCAAAAAUUAACAUAAUUGUUAAAAUGAGAAAGUGAACAACAUUUGCAUGCUCUUGAUCAAUGAAUCCAUGUUUAGCACUUUAUGCCCACAUUCAGAUCAAUGUAAAUGUUCCAUUUGCUUCAAAUUCUGUGUCUUAAAUAGACAGCAAGUACACCAUUGGGGUACAAUGAGAGAACACAUCAGUGGAUAGAAAAUAUUUAGAGUGUACUCAUAAAUACAAAAUCAAUCAAAACAACAUGAAAAAAACUGCAAAGCGUCAUCAACCCUCUGUAAAGUUCCUUUGUUAUUUAACUGGUUCCUCUUCGUAUCAAUUUUUCUUUCCAUCAACCUAUGAGCUGCAAAACAGAAUAAGAUUAAUAAUUUAAUUGAUGAUAAUUGGAAGAAGUAAAUAAAAGAGAUUUGUAUAUUUUACUUACAAGAAACAAGCAAAAGUGGCUAUUUGAUUUAGUAAUAUGGAGGUGGUGGUGAUGGAGAGGGAGGAGGUGGUGACUUGUAGACAUAAGGGGGUGGCGGUGAUGGAGAUGGUGGUGGUGGUGAUUUGUAAAUAUAAGGAGGGGGAGGUGAUGGUGAUGGAGGAGGUGGUGAUGGUGAAGGUGGUGGAGGUGAUUUGUAGAUGUAAGGAGGAGGAGGUGAUGGAGAUGGAGGAGGUGGGGAUUUGUAAACAUAUGGAGGUGGAGGUGAGGGAGAUGGUGGUGGUGGGGAUUUGUAAAUGUAAGGAGGGGGAGGUGAGGAUGAUGGAGAAGAUGGAGACUUAUAAACGUAAGAAGGAGGAGCUGAUGGAGAUAGAGUAGGAGAUUUGUAAAUAUAAGGAGGUGGUGGUGAUUUGUAAUUAUAAGGAGGGGGAGGUGAUGGAGAGGGUGGAGGUGAUGGUGAUGGCGGUGGUGGUGGUGGUGAUGGAGAAGGUGGACGUGAUUUAUAGCGAUAAGGCGGAAAGUCGCGUUGAUAAUAAAGUGGUGGUGGAGACUUAUAAACAUAUGGUGGUGGAGGUGGAGAUGCAUAAAUGUAAGGCUUGUCAUCGGCAGCUACAUUGGAGCUGGCUAUCAAGCCCAAUGCCAACACAUAAACCAGGUGAGGCCAAAUAUUGGCCAUUUCUGGAAAUUCUCGAACAAUACACCAGAAAAGUUCCCUCCUGCAGCUUAGGACUCUACCUUAAGGAUGGAAGGGGGAAUCUGUGAAUGACUGCAGAGGAGGGGCUCAGAGAUUACAUAGUAAUCGCUUAGGAGACUUCCAACAUUUGUUUAAUGGUUGUUUGAAGCUUCCAACCUUUAACAAGUCCUACACUAAAAAAAAAAUCCCAGUUUAUUCAAACGCUUGGAAGUUGGAAUGGGAACCCACUAACUUCUAUAUGAAAAACAUAACACAUUUCUGUGUCCAAGAAAUGGUCAUCAAGAAGAGUAAAAUGUGCAAGAACAUAUCAACUUGAGCAGGUCUCCGGUGACGUAAAAUGGAAACAGUCAGCUGUCUGAAAUGUACUAACCAGGACUGUCCGGUGUGUGGAUUAAAAUAUGAUAAAGUUUGGAACCAUUGGACCUGGAUCAAUAUUAGUGGCAUUGACAUUAGCAUUCUUUCCAUUCUUUUAGCAUUUAUAAUCAUGGAAAAUAUUGUUGGUGCGUCAUAGUCUCAGCUUGUCAGAAUAGACCAUUAUCAUUUGAUUAUGUGUGGCUUGGGAUCAAUUAGUCAAGAACAUCCUUGGCACGUUGUGAUCUACAUAUAUGUUUCAUUUUUCCAUGUACACCAAGAAAAAAUGGUCUCCUCCUUUUUCAGAACUUUGUUCCUAAUUGACUUUGGCCAUAGAUUUAAAAAAAUUUCAAAGCAACAAAUAUGUUUUACCAGUUCUGUUUUUCCAUGGUUAAUGUUAUUGGGAUGAGAACGGUAUGCACUAAGCCAAAAGCCAGUGCCAAAUUUUCUACAAAUGCAUGCAAGCCUAAUUUAAAUCACCACAUAUUUUUUCAAUAGAAAUUCAUUUCUUGGAUGGUAUUCUCCUCUUUGCUAGCUUUACAAAAGAUUGGAUUUUCCUAUUUAACAUGAGCAAGAAUACUAUGAACACUUCAUUUCUUUUUCUCUUUCUCAUGAUUUUUUGUAAAAUGCUUUGGGUUGCCUCUCAUCCUUCAUCAUUGCAAUUAAUCAGAUUCCAAAGUUGAGCUGGUUAACUAGCUCACUCACUAAUGGAUUAUGUGACAGAUUUUGCAUUUUGUAGUCCUUCCUUCAAAAAAGGGUGCAUUCAAAUUGUAAAAAGAGCACUUCUAAGCCUCCCAAAAGCACUCUUAACUAAUGGGCUCUAAAGUAUAUUUUAUGGUGCUUUUGCAAAGACAGAAUGGAGAAAGGCUUAGUAAGAUUAUCCAUGGUUCUCCGAAUUCAGUUUUGUUUUCUCGACAAAAAGGUUAAUUAACAUGAAAAAAUAUUACUUGUAUAUAGAAAUGAGUAGAAGUAGUGGACCCUUUUUUUUCCAUUAGAUCUGAGUAAAGAUGAAAGUUAUUUGGCAAAAGGAAAGAAACGUCAUUAAUCUCUUAAAUAUCUUCUUCAUGCAUUUUGCUAGAUAAAGGAUUGAUGGGGCGGGCAACAAAGGGAGAUUAUUUAAGGAGAUUUUGUAAUAACUACUUUGGAAUUGGGAGGUUUAGAAAGUGGAAGAGAAAAUGUUCAAGGAAUUAUUCAUUCCUCAAAUCUUCAUCCAUUCCUUUGUAUAGGGUUUGCCUCUAAAGGUCAACAAAACUGUUCAAAGUGUCUUUGAUAACAAUUUUAGAAAGUGUUUUUAACGUUUGUAAUACUUAUAUAAAAAAAAUUUGGUAAGUAUUAAAAAUAUUAAAAACACAUCAUAAAAUCACUAUUAAAAGAACUUUUAAAAAUUUAUAUGAAAUUAAUCAAGUUAAAUAAAGACAAGUUCUAACCUGUGGACAUAUAUGUAGAACUAAGGUCUUAGAACUGGUGAUGAUGCUAGAGAUUGCAAUCACAACUCACAACCAAAGAUCAUACAUGCUUGAAAGAAACAGAUUGAAAGGAAAUCUAUUUCAAUAUGGAUUAUAAAGUGUUUUUGUGGUUUAUAUAAAAAACAAUGACACUACAUGCAACUACAUAUGUACUUGCUUUAUAUGCUAACGACAUUAUUUAUAUGCUAGAUAUUAACUAGACACCAUCAAUCAGGUCUAUAUAUAUAUAUAUAUAUAUAUAUAUAUAUAUAUAUAUAUAUAUAUAUAUAUAUAUAUAUAUAUAUAUAUUAUUAUUUAUAUCCUUAUACUUUGAUCUCAUUUGUUUAUUUCUUCGUUCAACAACAUAAAUCUCAUCAUGCAUGUUUAAUGAUCCGGAUUUAGAGUUCAAUAGAUAUCACUAGGGUAGCUUAGGAUUUUCUUACCUAAAAUAACUAUAAGAAGUACUCAAAGAAAAAGAAAAUGAAUGAUCUAAAAGUGGAUCCCUUGCAACACUUCAAGGAGUCGAGAUUUGUACUUGGUUGGGCUUGGAAUUCUAAUAAUCCUAGUUGGCUGGGCACUUGGCUUUCUAAUAAUUCUAGUUGUCGCAUUAACGGAAACUGUACGUAACUCAACAGUAUGGACAAUUGAAAUGUUUAUGGAGUAUUGUUAAUCAAAGCUGCCAUGGGAAAAUCUUUUGUUUGAAGCCCUUCACUGAAAUAUUCAAUAAAUAUAGCUAGCGCCACUUUCCCUUAGAAAUAAUUCCCCCCAAUACCUUAAAUGGUAUGCAUAACUUCUUAUUCACUUUACACACCUAUUCAUCUUAAUUACCAAAUGCACCCACUUUCUUUUUUUAUUUUUAUUUUUUCUUUUAACUCAUUUUUUUAUAUUUAAAUUUUGGUAUUAAUCAAAUAUUAAUUUUAAUUUUUUUAAUUAUUUAAAAAAAUUACCAAAUCAGUUAAUGAAUUUAAUGCAUUAGCUCUCAAUUGAUUUGAAAUAUGUUUGUCUAAUGAUAAAACUUGAAAAUUAUACAGUUAUACGCACUUAAAAAAUUGGCCAAGCGAUUGUAGAUCAGUUUUGUUCCAACAAAUUCUAGUAUUAAUUGGCUUGAAUUGAGUUCUAAAUGAUUUUUAAACUUUGUUAAACUUAUUAAGGAAUCCAACGCAUCAAAUUGGAUUUAGAAGAUGACACAUCUCAAAGCAAAACAAUAGGGAAAGGUAUAACAAAUCACAAAUUCAAUGUUAUAAAUAUCAAAAAUUAAACUGAAACAAUCUCAAAUGACAAAAAUUAAAAAGAUUCUAUAGAUAAGGAAAUAAAAGCAAUAAAGAAAAAUAACACAUUGAAAUUAAAUCCCUUCCAAAAGGGAAAAAGGCAAUUGGAGGAAAAUAGGUAAACAAUGAGUCAAAUCCUAUUUUUCGAAAACAACCAAAUGUUUAGAAAACAAUAAUAAAUAAAUAAAUAAAAUGAAAUAAAAUAAAAUAAAUAAGAUCUCCUUUAAGACUAAAUGAUUCCAUUGAAUUGAGUAUGAUUGUAUGUGUGAUAGCAUCAACUAUACUAAGAAUAUCAAUGACCUUUUGGCAACCAACCUUCAAAAUAUAAAGAGGAAAGAUGUGCAAAGAAGAAUCUAAAAGGAGAAAUAGAGAGACACAAAGUAAGAUUAGUGGUUAAGGGUUACAAGCAUCAACUUGUAAACAACACAUUAGCAAUUGCACUAUCAAAAAAAUCCAAUUUUAUAUGUUUGAAACAAUAUAUUGAUACAAAAUAUCAUUUUAUUAGAGAGUACAUGAUGAAGAAGAAAGUAUAAUUAAAUUUGCAAAAUCUCAAGAUUAAAUUGCAAAUAUUUUCACCAAACCUCUCAAGUUUAAAAAUUUCAGAAAGUUAAGUAUGUUACUUGGAGUUACAAAUAAAGUUUAAGGGGAAUAUUGGAAAGUUAAACUUGAUUUAGAAAGUUUCCAAAAAUUAGAACUAGAUUUAGUCUCCACAAUUCAAAGAUAAUAUUUUAUUUUCAAUGGUUGUUUAUAUUUGAGUAGUCAAGUUCUAGAAGGUUAAUUUCUAUAUUUUGUUAUUAGAAUUUUCUAUUUUGUUAAGUGUAAAUAUCUAUAAAUAAGAUUUUAUGUAAUAUUUGAAUAAGAAAGUGUAAAGAUGAAUCUCACCUACGGAUAAUAGCUAGAAGGGGCUAAAUAGAUGUUUUUUAAGACAUCUUAAGAUGGUAUUUCACAAAUGCUUACAAAUCCCUUAUUUUUCUCAAAUGUUUUGGUUUGUUUUUUUUAUUUUAUUAACAAAAAAAAAAAAAAAAAACAAAUCAUAAGUAAUAAUGGAUGCAUCAACACUCUCUCAUUAAGUGAGUCAAUACAAAUCACGUACAAAUGAAUCAACACUCCUCAACUAUAAUGUAUAAGACAUUAUAUGCAUCAACACAAAUCCCAUUUUCGCAUGUCCCUUGACAUUAAUAUCAAAAACUGAAAUAUACCAUAUUCUUUCAAAGCUUCAAUGGUUUAAUUUAAGCUCAUAUUUCAAUUAAACAACAAAUAAUUCAAUAGAAAUAUCAUAAGCUAAUGAAAAACUAAAUAAAAGAUGAGGUAGAAUAGAGAAACAAUGACACCAAUAUUUUAUCAUGGAAAACCUACAAAGGGAGAAAAAACCAUAGACCUCGAGCGAUCAAAUCAUUCACCAUGAAGAAAAUUGACUAAGUACAAGGAUUUACCUAACCCAAACCUUCAAUCCUCUCCCGGUCCACUUGCCUAAAAUCUUCAAACUUUAGCAACCCACUUUCUUCUUCUAGAACACACUUCAAAUCCAUACCAAGUUUGAUCUUGACCUCUUCUUAAAUCCACAUAAGAAGAUAUUUGAGUUUUUACCCCAAAUAAGAUGAAUACAAGCGUAGAGAUGAAACUCACACCGAAUCAACCUAUUUUGAAAGAAAUUUUCUCACUCAAAAAUGAUUUUCAACUCAAACCCAUAAAAUUUUCAGUCAAACCAAACACCCCGAAAACAGGUAAUAGAAUAUGAAGCUCAAGGGAGGCCACCUAUCUCUCUCAGCCCACCCUUCCUCUUAUAAAAAUAGAGCUUACAUAUUAGGGUUUUAAAACCCAUUAAACGGCUGAGAUUUGUUUGGAAAAUAAUGAAGAUUCGUAGUGUGAUCGAAGUCUGAUCACAAGACUGAAAAAAUCUGGGUUCAACAAAAACUGUUACCCUUCAGUUUUAUGUUGUGGUUGAGUACUACUCGAUAAUAGUGAGUGGUAGCAUUUAUGGAGGACCAUCACAUGAUGGUCCAAAUGAGAAGUAGCUAGAUAUGAUACUAAAAAUUGAUGUAAGGUAAUCAAGUAAAAGUUAACGAGUUGGAUCGAAACAGGUUCUGACUUUCUGUACGUAGCUGCAUUUAGAAAUGAAGGUUUUACAGGCAAAGAUGUUUCAGACACUUCUUCACCAAACCCAUGUAUAAAAGGAACAGAUUGAACCGAAAGCUACUUCAUUAUGGUUUUGUGGAGAGUUGCUUUUCUUGAGAAGUUCUAUAUAGGCUUUCUGUUACUUGUGACCUAAGUGCUUCAAAUCAAUCAAUUUGCUUUUCGUGCCAGAAUGAAAGCAUUGAUUAUAUUAGAAGUUCAUGUUCAAGUUUAAAGUAAAGUAAAUAUGUGAAGACAGCUAAAUCGUUUAAGGCAUUUUUUUGUUAUCAAAUCUAAUUCCCUUUAUUUCCCUCCAUUUUUUUUUUCUCAGCUUCUGAGUUCAUGAAAUUACAGUUACAUGGAAUUUGGCCCACAGGAAAUCUCUUUUAGAAAAUCUUAUCUGGUUUACUUCACAAUUUUUGUUUAGAUGUGAAAAUUAAGAACAAUUGCAUGCUGUUGAUCAAGACAUCCAUGUUUAGCAAUUCAUCCUCUCAUUGAAAUAAAUGUAAAUGUUCCAUUUAUUUAAAAGUUUGCGAAUCUUAAGUAGAUGGCAAACAGAUCAAUAAGGUCCAAUAACAGAACAAAUUAAUGGCUAGUAUAUACUGAAAGAGAACUCAAGGGUAUAAAAUAAAAACAAAAUGAUCCAAACUGCAAAGCAUCAUGGCCAUGGCAAGGUCCUUAUUGUUGAACUGGCUGUCUUUCUUUGAUGUUAAUAGUCGUUGUACCCCCAAAAGAUCUUCCUGUUCCUUCUGAUAUCAAUUAUUCAUUCUAUCCUAUAAUCUGCACGGAAAACAGAGGAAUGUUAAAUACUGUAUGAAUGAUGAAAAUGGGAAAUGUGGUCUGUAUUAUAUAUACUUACAUGAAACUAGAAGAGGCAAUUCAUUUAGUAAUAUGGUGGAGGAGGUGAAGGAGAGGAAGGGGGUGGUGACUUGUGGUAGUAGACUGGUGGUUGGGGUGAUGGAGAAGGUAGUGGUGGGGAUUUGUAGAGGUAUGGUGGAAGAGGAGAUGGAGAUGGAGGAGGUGAGGACUUGUAAUAGGAUGGAGAAGGUGGUGGUGGUGAUUUGUAGUAGUAAGGAGGAGGUGGGGAAGGAGAUGGUAGAGGUGGGGACUUAUAGUAAUAAGGAGGUUGAGGAGAUGGUGAUGGAGGAGGAGGUAAUUUAUAGUCGUAGUGAGGAGGGGGUGAUGGUGAAGGUAGUGGUGGUGACUUGUAGUAAUACCACGGAGGAAGAGAUGGAGAUGGAGCCAGAGGUGACAGCGGUGGUAGUGAUUUGUAGUAAUAAGGAGGCAGUGAUGAUGGAAAAGGUGGGAGCGGUGGCAGUGAUUUAUGGUAAUAAGGAGGUAGUGAUGAUGGAAAAGGUGGGAGCGGUGGCCGUGAUUUAUAGUAAUAAGGAGGUAGUGAUGAUGGAAAAGGUGGGGAUGCAAAAGUAUUAGGAUUGUAAGGCUCGUCUUCAGCAGCUACAUUAGCGGCAAUCAAGCACAAAGCCAAGACACAAAUCAGGUGAGGCCAAAAAUUGGCCAUUUCCAGAACACGAGAAAAUUUCACUCCUACAACUCAAGAACUUCUAUUUCUUAGAACAGAAGGGAUUUUGUGAAUGAUGCUUCAAGGUAGAGGCUCAGAGUUUAUAUAGUCAUCCUUUCCAUAAUUCUUUCAUUUGUUUAAUUAGUAGUUGUUGAAGCCUCCAAUCUUUAACAAGUCUACAACUAAAUGGUAUUCCCCUAUUUUCUAUGUGUUACCUGCACAUCUGUCCAUGAAAAGUCAAGAAGAUUAGUAAACAUAUAUAUACAAGAGUGCAUUUCAGUUUUGGUUGUUGGGAGCCUAGAAGCUUCCCCAUAUAUUAUGUCAAAUGUGACUGCCAUCUUUAAGAAUUUACCAUGGAAAACUCAACAUAAAAUAUUACUAUGAAGCAUGUCUACCAAGCAAAAAGCUAGGGCUAUUAGAUCUCCUUCUACCAUAACUUCCUGUUUUUCGAAAAUUUGUCAUACAUUGAAACCUUUUUCAAAACAACAAAAAGAUUUAAUAUUGCAAAUAAUUUACGGGCAUUAAUUAGGAAGGUAAUGCACUAAUAAACCUAAAAUCAAUGCCAAUUUUUCUAGAAAGGCAUCGUUGUCUUUCAAUAACUUCUUAAGCUAGCUAUUUAAUAUUAUAGGACGACUAGGUCUAUGAAUGAGAUCAUCAUAUGCAUUUUCAAUAACAAGUAAUGGACCCUUGUUUUUCCAUUGGAUUUGAGUAACGAUGAAAGUUCUUUAGGAAAAGGAAAGAAACAUAAUUAAUCUCUUAAAUUUCUUCUUCAUGCAUGUUGCUAGAUAAAGGAUUGAUGGGGCAAGCAACAAAGGGAGAUUAUUUAAAGAGAUUUUGUAAUAACUACUUUGGAAUUGGGAGUUGUAGAAAGUGGAAGAGAAAAUGUUCAAGGAAUAGUUCAUUCCUCAAAUGUUCAUCCAUUCCUUUGUAUAGGGUUUUGCCUUUAAAUAUCAACAAAACUGCUCAAGGUGUAUUUGAUAGUAAUUUUAGAAAGUAUUUUUAACCUUUAUAAUACUUAAAAAAAAAAAAAAUUGUUAAGUGUCAAAAAUAUUAAAAACACAUCUUAAAAUCACUACUAAACGGACUCUUAAAAGUUCAUAUGAAAUUAAUCAAAUUAGAUAAGGACAGGUUCUAACCUGUGGACAUAUAUGUAGAACUAAGGUCUUAGAACCGGUGAUGAUGAGAUUGCAAUCACAACUCACAACCAAAUAUCAUACAUACUUGAAAGAAACAAAUUGGAAGGAAAUCUAUUUCAAUAUGAAUUAUAAAGUGUUUUUGUGGUUAAUAUAAAAAAUAAUGACACUACAUGCAACUUACAUAUGUACUUGCUUUAUAUGCUAACGACAUUAUUUAUAUGCUAGAUAUUAACUAGACACCAUCAAUCAAGUCUAUAUAUAUAUAUAUAUUAUUAUUUAUAUCUUUAUACUUUGAUCUCAUUUGUUUAUUUCUUCGUUCAACAACACAAAUCUCAUCAUGCAUGUUUAAUGAUCCGGAUUUAGAGCUCAAUAGAUAUCACUAGGGUAGCUUAGGAUUUUCUUACCUAAAAUUACUAUAAGAAGUACUCAAGGAAAAAGAAAAUGAAUGAUCUAAAAGUGGAUCCCUUGCAACACUUCAAGGAGUCGAGAUUUGUACUUGGUUGGGCUUGGAAUUCUAAUAAUCCUAGUUGGCUGGGCACUUGGCUUUCUAAUAAUUCUAGUUGUCGCAUUAACGGAAACUGUUUGUAACUCAACAGUAUGGACAAUUGAAAUGUUUAUGGAGUAUUGUUAAUCAAAGCUGCCAUGGGAAAAUCUUUUGUUUGAAGCCCUUCACUGGAAUAUUCAAUAAAUAUAGCUAGCGCCACUUUCCCUCAGAAAUAAUUCCCCCCAAUACCUUAAAUGGUAUGCUUAAUUUCUUAUUCACUUUUACACACCUAUUCAUCUUAAUUACCAAAUGCACCCACUUUCUGUUUUUUUUUUCUUUUAACUCAUUAAUGUUUUAAAAAAAAUUGGUAUUAAUCAAAUAUUAAUUUUAAAAUUUUUAAUUAUUUUAAAAAAUUAUCAUAUCGGUUAAGAAAUUUAAUGCAUUAGCUCUCACUUGAUUUGAAAUAUGUUUGUCUAAUGAUAGAACUUGAAAAUUAUAUAGUUACACGCACAUAAAAAAUUGGCCAAGCCAUUGUAGACCGGUUUUGUUCCAACAAAUUCUAGUAUUAAUUGGCUCGAAUCAAGUUCUAAAUGAUUUUUAAAAUUUAUUAAACUUAUUAAGGAAUCCAAUGCAUCAAAUUGGAUUUAGAAGAUGACACAUCUCAAAGCAAAACAAUAGGGAAAGGUAUAAUAAAUCACAAAUUCAAUGUUAUAAAUAUCAAAAAUUAAACUGGAAUAAUCUCAAAUGACAAAAAUUAAGAAGAUUCUAUAGAUAAGGAAAUAAAAGCAAUAACAAAACAUAAUACAUUGAAACUAAAAUCCUUUCCAAAAGAGAAAAAGGCAAUUGGAGGAAAAUGGGUAAACAAUGAGUCAAAUCCUAUUUUUUGAAAACAACCAAAGGUUUAUAAAAUAAUAAUAAAUAAAUAAAUAAAAUGAAAUAAAAUAAAAUAAAUAAGAUCUCCUUUAAGACUAAAUGAUUCCAUUGAAUUGAGUAUGAUUGUGUGUGUGAUAGCAUCAACAGUACUAAGAAUAUCAAUGACCUUUUGGCAACCAACCUUCAAAAUAUAAAGGGGAAAGAUGUGCAAAGAAGAAUGUAAAAGGAGAAAUAUUAGAGAGACACAAAGUAAGAUUAGUGGUUAAGGGUUACAAGCAUCAACUUGUAAACAACAAAUUAGCAAUUGCACUAUCAAAAAAUCCAAUUUUAUAUGUUUGAAACAAGAUAUCAAUACAAAAUAUCAUUUUAUUAGAGAGUGCAUAAUGAAGAAGAAAGUAUAAUUAAAUUUGCAAAAUCUCAAGAUUAAAUUGCAAAUAUUUUUACCAAACCUCUCAAGUUUAAAAAUUUUAGAAAGUUAAGUAUAUUACUUGGAGUUACAAAUAAAGUUUAAGGGGGAUAUUGGAAAGUUAAACUUGAUUUAGAAAGUUUCCAAAACUUAGAACUAGAUUUAGUCUCCACAAUUCAAAGAUAAUAUUUUAUUUUCAAUGGUUGUUUAUAUUUGAGUAGUCAAGUCCUAGAAGGUUAAUUUCUAUAUUUUGUUAUUAGAAUUUUCUAUUUUGUUAAGUGUAAAUAUCUAUAAAUAAGAUUUUAUGUAAUAUUUGAAUAAGAAAGUGUGAAGAUGAAUCUCACCUAUGGAUAACAGCUAGAGGGGGCUAAAUAGAUGUUUUUUAAAACAACUUAAGAUGGUAUCUCACAAAUGCUUACAAAUCCCUUAUUUUUCUCAAAUGUUUUGGUUUGUUUUUUUUUAUCUUAUUAAAAAAAAAACAAAUCAUAAGUAAUAAUGGAUGCAUCAACACUCUCUCAUUAAGUGAGUCAAUGCAAAUCACAUACAAAUGAAUCAACACUCCUCAACUAUAAUGUAUAAGACAUUAUAUGCAUCGACACAAAUCCCAUUUUCGCAUGUCCCAUGACAUUAAUAUCAAAAACUGAAAUAUACCAUAUUCUAUCAAAGCUUCAAUGGUUUAAUUUAAGCUCAUAUCUCAAUUAAACAACAAAAUAAUUCAAUAGAAAUAUCAUAAGCUAAUGAAAAACUAAUUAAAAGAUGAGGUAGAAUAGACAUAUAAGGGAAGCAGCCUAAAAUCAUGCCUAUCAUUCAAUUCUAUAUUCUGUCAUAUAGCUGUAUAUUGUAACAGUAGCAUAGAUUUAGCCUUACCGUUUCUAAAUUUGAAUCAUAUAGUUGUAUAUUGUAACGGUAGCAUCCUUAUCGUGUAUAUGUUUCUUAAACUAGCUUCUUAAUCACUUUAUAUAAUAGAGUUUCCAUCAAUAAAAUGAGUUGGAAAUUCUUCAUUGAAACUACGACAAUAUUUUUUUCUUUAUAUGGUAUCAGAGCACUGAUCUCAAAUGAGCCAUCGAUCCAAGUUAUCACCAUGCCUUCCUCCUCUGAUCAAACUCCAAACUUUAAUCUCAAUACUCAACUUCCAUCUGCAGUCGAUAAACCCCUAAUUGCUCUCAAUAUCACAACCCAAAUCAAUGAAAAAUUAACUCCCUCCACAUUUUCUCAAUGGUGUGCUCAAUUUGAAGCACUCAUUAUUGGUUACGAUUUACUCAACUAUGUUGAAGGCACCAUUCGGUGCCCUUCCUCUACUGCUACUCCUACUGAUGAGUUGCACAAAACCCAUUGGGUCCGAUAGGAUAAACUUAUCUUGAGUGCUAUUCUAGCCUCCACAUCUUCUUCAAUCACACCACUCAUUGCUACGUCAAAGACCUCCCAUGAAGCUUGGAAAAAAUUAAAACCUCUAUAUGCUACCCGAUCAAGAACACAUGCUAUGCAAUUAAAGGAGGAACUCACCUUAAUCCAGCGAGGAGAUCGGUCGAUUAUAGAAUGCAUCCAUCCUCUAAAGUCCUUGGCCAAUGAAAUAACCAUUAUUGAUCAUUCAAUUUCGGAUGAUGACCUAACCCUUUGUGUGUUGAAUGGCUUAGGUCUAGAUUUUCGAGAGAUUGUUGUGCAUAUCUGAGCUCGAGAAUCAUCACUGGCUUUUGAGGAGUUGCAUGAUCUUUUGGUUGGACACGAGGCAUACUUAUGACGCAUAGGAGUUGCGAUGCAGAACCUAGUUGCUUCUGCAAAUUUCAUAAAGAUGACGAAGUAGUCUCCACAAUGAGGAAGUCACCCGUGGUCUUUCAAGCAAACUAGCUUUCACCAUGAGCCUCGAGGUUCUCAACAAAGCUGCAACUCAAAUGGAGCCCAACGUGAUGGAUGUCGCUCCAACAAUAACUCUAGGCGACCCAACAACUCCAAUUGGUGUUACCAGCCCAAAUGUCAAAUUUAUGACCAAUUGGGCCACACUGCAAAGUUCUGUCCUCAACUCCAUUCAUAGAAUGCCUCCAUCAAUUGUGCUGCAAUCUCUACUGGCAAGGACAAAAAUUGGUUACUUGAUUCGACUAUUUCUCAUAAUAUCACGGGUGAUCUUUCCAACUUAUCUAUUCACUCCGAAUAUGAUGGAAUUGACAAAGUAAUUCUCAGUAAUGGUUCAAGUUUGGUUGUCUCACACAUCGGUUUUUUGGAUUUACACUCCCCUCAUCGAAAUUUUACAUUGCAUGAUACUCUUUGUGUUCCAAAUCUUUGCAGAAAUUUAAUUUCCGUUCAUCAUCUCACCAAACAAAACAAUGUCUUGGUUGAAUUUCACCAUUUUCAUUUUCUUGUGAAGAACAAGAUCACGGGGGCAAUCCUACUAAGAAGAGCAUGUAACAAUGGCAUCUACACUUUUCCGACAUCAAUGGUGGCAUAAAAAAAUAUUGCUAAUGUGCAUGAACACAGAUGGAUGGCACAAGCGUCUUGGGAUUCCUUCUACUAAAAUUGCCCAUCAUCUUGUCAAUAAAUUUUCUCUUCCUAUGUCCUUGAACAAAAAGUUUAUCUUCAUUAUGUUCUUCAUGUUCUAUUAAUAAAGCACAUCAACAACCACUUUGUGUCACUAGUCUCCAAAGUCAUGAGCCACUUGACCUUAUUUACACGGAUGUGUGGGGUCCCGCUAGUUAUACUGGAAUUGAUGGAUCACGAUAUUACCUUAUUUUUGUUGAUCAUUAUACAAAAUAUAUAUGAUUUUAUCCAAUGGUCACAAAAUCCAAUGUUUCUAAUAUUUUCCCGCAUUUCAAAAAGUUUGUUGAAACUUGUUUUUAAAAAUCUAUUAAAACACUUUACUUCAAAAAUGGUGGUGAGUUUAUCGCUUUAAAAUCUUAUUUAUUACUUCAUGGCAUAACUCACUACACCACUGCUCCACACACUCAACAACAAAAUGGUGUCUUUGAACGUUAUCACUGUCAUCUCGUUGAAACGAACCUUACACUUCUUCAUGAUGCAAAUCUUGCUUUCUCAUAUUGGCCCUAUGCUUUUCAAACAACUUCUUAUCUCAUAAAUAAACAACCAAUGCCUUUCCUCCAAGAAAAAAAUACCUUUUGAAGCCCUUUUUGGUCAACCACCCAAUUACUUGAAAUUAAAAAAAUUUGGGUGCAUUUGUUAGCCCCUCACACGAGCCUAUAAUUCAAAUAAAAUGCAGCCCAAAUCCAAAGUCUGCAUUUUUCUCGGUUAUUCACCAACCCAAAACGCAUACAAGUGUUUUGAACCUCAAACAAAAAAUUCUUUCUCUCACGGCAUGUGUUAUUUGAUGAAAAUCUAACAUAUUCCAGUCUAUCCUAAACUGCGUCUUCCAUAACAACCCAACCCACUCGAGAAUCUCACAUUUUUUUUCAUUUUUUCUUCUUCAAUUCUCAGCAGGCUGUCGUGUCUCCAUCACAGUUGUCCGGUACACCUAUCUCAUCGUUGUCUCCGGAAGGUCCGCCUACCAUUGUUGCGUCUUCCUUAGGUGAUUUCGGACCCUCUGCUCCUUUCUUUCAUGAUUGCUUGCAAACCCUAGAUCACAACACCACCCACUUGAAUUUUCCUUUACAUGACACUCAGACUGGUCCUUCUUUAAAUUUGCAAUCACGCUCUCAUGAUCAGCAUCUAGGUCUAGCUAAUACUUCCAAUUUUCCAACCCCUACCGAAACCAAUAAUUUUCCCCAACGCACUCAUACCAUGACCAUAAGAUCAAUGUACCAAAUCUUCAAACCCAAACAACUCCACACUGUGUCAAAAUAUCCUCUCUCCUCGACCAUUGAACCAACCAAUGUGAGCCAAGCCAUUUCUCAACCUCAUUGGCGUGAGGUCAUGUCUAAUGAGCUUACUGCUCUAAUGAAACAUAGGACUUGGGACAUAGUUUUACCACCUUCAAACUGUAAACCCGUGGGUUGUAAAUGGGUAUUUUGAGUAAAAAGAAAAGCUGAUGGGUCAGUGGACAGGUUCAAAGUCUGUCUAGUUGCUAAGGGCUAUAAUCAACGUCUUGGUGUUGAUUACAAAGACACUUUUAGUCUUGUCAUCAAACCAACAACUAUUAGAUUUGUCCUAUCUAUUGUAGUCAUGAAUGGAUGGGUUUUGAGGCAACUGAAUAUCAACAAUGCUUUUCUAAAUGGUGAAUUAUCUGAGACUGUGUUUAUGGCAUAACCCCCAGGGUUCAAAGAUUUGUCCAAACCUAAUCAUGUUUGCAAGUUAAAAAAAUGCCAUCUAUGGGCUUAAAUAAGCCCCGCGAGCUUGGUACACAAUGCUAAAAAAUGCCAUUCUUCAGUUGGGUUUUCAUAAUUCCAAAGUGGAUUCCUCUCUCUUCAUUUACAACCAUGGUUCCAAUCUUUAUUAUUUCUACAGGGAAUAAUUUCAUACUUAUGGCCACUAUUAUGAAGCAGCUGGGUGACAUGUUUUCUCUCAAAGAUAUGGGUUCUCUUCAUUUUUUCUUAGGAAUUGAAGUAAUUCCUACUCGGGCAGGAUUAUUCCUCUCACAACAUAAAUAUGUUCAUGAACUUUUAGCCCACACCAGUAUGAGUAGUGCAAAAGAUGUCUCCAUACCUCUCUCUACCACUCAAUCUCUUCAACUGGUUGAUGGCAUUGUUGCUGUGGACAACUCAGAGUUCUGUAAAAUCAUUGGCAGCCUUCAAUACCUUUCUUUGACGCAUCCAGAUAUCUCAUUUGCAGUAAAAAAAACUCUCGCAAUUUAUGCACAAGCCGACUACAAAUCACUGGACAGAAACCAAACGACUCAUUCGAUACUUAAAACAAACCAUUUUUUUAUGGUAUUCAAAUCAACAAAGCUGGAACUCCAGUAUUAAGAACAUACUCAGAUGUAGAUUGGGCUGGAAAUGUGGACGACUGCACGUCCACCUCUGCUUCUAUCAAUUUUUUGGGAUCUAACCAAAUUUCUUGGAGCUCAAAGAAACAAAGAGCAGUUGCAAGAUCCUCAAUAGAAGUUGAAUACCGAGACUAGCAACUGCGGCUUCCGAGACAAUGUGGAUGUCUACUCUCUUCAAAGAACUAGCAUUUCCAAUCAAAGAAUCUCCCCAAUUGUUAUGUGACAACCUUGGAGCCACACAUCUCAGUUUUAACUCGGUUAAUCAUUCACGCAUGAAACACAUUCAAAUUGACCUUCACUUUGUGCGUGACUUAGUGCAAAAAGGAAGCAUCCAAGUCAGCCAUGUACAUACUCAAGACCAAUUAGCUUAUCUGUUAGCAAAGUCGUUGUCCAAACAACGCACAGAAUUGUUACGCAACAACAUUGUCCUUACCGAUGGAAGCCCUAUCUUGCAGGGGUGUAUAAGGGAAACAUCCUAAAAUCAUGCCUAUCAUUCAAUUCUAUAUUCUGUCAUAUAGUUGUAUAUUGUAACAGUAGCAUCCUUACCGUGUAUAAGUUUCCUAAACUAGCUUCUCAAUCACUCUAUAUAACAGAGUUUCUAUCAAUAAAAUGAGUGGGAAAUUCUUCAUUGAAACUACGACAAUAUUUGUUUCUCUAUAAGAGAAACGGUGACACCAAUAUUUUAGCAUGGAAAACCUAAAAAAAGGAGAAAAAACCAUAGACCUCUAGCGAUCAAAUCAUUCACCAUGAAGAAAAUUAACUAAGUACAAGGAUUUACCUAACCCAAACUUUCAAUCCUCUCUUGGUCCACUUGCCUAAAAUCUUCAGACUUUAGCAACCCACUUUCUUCUUCUAGAACACACUUCAAAUCCAUACUAAGUUUGAUCUUGACCUCUUCUUAAAUCCACAUAAGAAGAUAUUUGAGUUUUUACCCCAAAUAAGAUGAAUAUAAGCGUAAAGAUGAAACUCACACUGAAUCAACCUAUUUUGAAAGAAAUUUUUUCACUUAAAAAUGAAUUUCAACUCAAACCCAUAAAAUUUUCAUUCAAACCAAACACCUCAAAAACAGGUAAAAGAAUAUGAAGCUCAAGAGAGGCCACCUAUCUCUUUCAGCCCGCCCUUCCUCUUAUAGAAAUAGAGCUUAAAUAUUAGGGUUUUAAAACCCAUUAAACGGAUGAGAUUUGUUUGGAAAAUAAUGAAGAUUCAUAGUGUGAUCGAAACCUGAUCACAAGACUGAAAAAAUCUGGGUUCAACAAAAACUGUUACCCUUCAGUUUUAUGUUGUGGUUGAGUACUACUCGAUAAUAGUGAGUGAUAUCAUUUAUGGAGGACCAUCACAUGAUGGUCCAAAUGAGAAGUAGAUAUGAUACUAAAAAUUGAUGUAAGGUAAUGUCCCGUCCCAAGACCCACUCCAAGGGCAUGAAGGUCAUUUCACACCUCAAACCCAAAGGCUUAAAGUGUAACCUGACCCAAACAAUUAUCUUAUAACUGGAAGUUACCAAUUACCAAAUACCUGUUUAGAGUAGCAAAAUAAAAUUCUAAAAUCUUCAAAACUUAACUUUAAAACUAAGCAUCCAUCAACCAAAAUCCAUUUUCCAAAUAAAUUGCAAACUCAAACAAUUCAAGUGCUAACAAAAAUUUUCAUAAUCUCCAAAUCUCAACUUCAAACUAUCAAAAAAAAUUUAAAAGUUCAAUAUCUAAAUAGCUUCCAAAAACCAAAUAAUCCAAAUGAACAUAAACUUAUAAGCUAACAAUGUCCAAAAAUAACAUCCUAAGCAAAAUCCUAAUGAUGACCAUUCCCCGACCUAGCCAUCACUCAUCGCCCGAACUAAGUGUACCUGAAAAAUUAUCAACAAAAGAGAAUGAGCUCAAAGCCCAAUAAGGAACAUUAUUAUAGUCCAUGGAUCAAAUAUUUCAAGUUCACUUGUAAAAUAGGAGAUAUUAUAACUAAUUAUUUUCAUAAACCUUUGAGUCAGUUUUGUCAAUACAUUCAAAACUUUUAAUUGAACACUUUCAUUUCUGAUUCAAACAUUUUCAUAUCAAAUUCAGUCAAAACAUUCAAAUCAUUUAUUUACUUUGGUCAUCAAACAUUAAAUGAUGUCCAAUUAGGUGAGACUUUUCAAAUAAGUGGCUAGCCUCAAAUUGUUCAUUUAAGGUGGACGAAACCAAACACUACUAGUACUAGUAACCUCUAACCAAACCCCUAGAGGUUGGGGUCCAAAUCAAUUACAUUCCCCACCAAGAAAUGUAAAUGUCAACUAUUAUAUUUCGUCGACAAGGGUCAAACAAACCAAAAUCAAACACUUAUUUCAAUUAUUCAAAUUUGCAAAACAUAAUAUCUCCAUAUUUCUCUGUUGUGAACAAAAUGUAAGGUUCUAACAUACUUUUCAUGCAAAACAUAUUUGAUUCAUGCAUAAAACGAAUAAUAACUCAAAGCGUUUCCAAAUGAUGUAUAUAAAAAUUUGUUUCUAAAAAAAAAAAAAAACCUGCAUUAAUUUCCCUUACCUCAAAAGAAGUCUUCAAAAACUUAGGAGAAAAAUAAUUCUUAAAAAUCUACUCCUCACCUAACAAAGUAUAAGAGAAAUAACCAUUAUUAUUUAUCUAAAAUUAUAGGUUUGACAAUCCUAAAAGGUAUUCAAAUUAAUGUUUUUAAUUAUAAAAGAUAAUUUAAUCUAUUCCUAUUUUAGAAAAAUUAAUAAAUUUCUAAUUCAUAUAAAACUUAAAUUUUAUUUUCAAUUUAUUUCUUAGGAUACAACAUAAUUUAAUUAAACUACAAUUUAUUCUACUAAUUAAAUUUUAUGCCACUUAUUAACUUACACUCAUCAUUAGUAUAAUAAUAUUGAUAACUUCUAUUCUCUUUCUUUCAAUUUUUUUUUUCCACUAAACAUAAAUUGUAACCCUAACAAUUCUCCAUUAUUGCUAACAUAAUAAUGUAAAGAUAUUUAUUAACCACCAAACACCAUCCGUACACAUCUUCCUUUAUUAUUAAUAUUACUAUUUUUUUUCUUUUAAAAAAAAUAAAAAAUUCCUCCAGUGCAAGUGUGUUCUUUUUUUUUCCCCUAAUGUUUUCUAAUCCCUUAACCCACAUAUAAUAAUAUAUUUAUUUACUCAUUUAUUUAUUUAUUUUUAAAAAAAUCAUUACUUAGAUCUAUUCAUCUAAAAAAUUUUGAAUUUCCCUUAUUUCAACAAUAGAACAAUCUAUAUUCCCAAUUUCAAUAUUUUGACCUAAAAGUUUUAAAUAGGUUAAGUCUAGCCUAAAUUGAAAUCUUUCAAAGAAAUUUUUUUUUUUUUCAAAAACUUAAGAUUUCCCAAUUUUUAAUAAUAAAACCACCAAUAAUCCUAAAUUUCUAAUAUUUUGAUAUUAAAACGAAUUAAAAAAAAAACUAACCCUAAUCUAAAUUAAAAAAAUAAAAUUCAAAGAAUAACUAACGUGUUUAGAACUAACUAUUGAAUAUAAUAUAUUAAUUUAAGAUUAGAAUCUUACCUAGAAAAAAAACCUGAAUUUCAACUUUAAAUCUCUAACCCUUGAGCCCUACGAACUCCAAUUCUCUACUUCUAGUUAAUAGGGUUUUCUGAACGAAGAAGAAAAGAGGAAAAAUCCAAUUUAUACCUAGGAUUUUUAAUUGUAAAAUGACUCUUUCACCCUCAAUGAAUUUAAUUAAUUAUUUAAUUACUUUAUAAAUUACUAGUUUGCCCCUAGAUUAAAUUUUGGGGUGUUACAGGUAAUCAAGUAAAAGUUAACGAGUUGGAUCGAAACAGGUUCUGACUUUCUGUAGCUGCAUUUAGAAAUGAAGGUUUUACAGGUAAAGAUGUUUCAGACACUUCUUCACCAAAACCCAUGUGUAAAAGGAACAGAUUGAACCGAAAGCUACUUCAUUAUGGUUUUGUGGAGAGUUGCUUUUCUUGAGAAGUUCUAUAUAGGCUUUCAGUUACUUGUGACCUAUUGUGCUUCAAAUCAAUCAAUUUGAUUUUCGUGCCAGAAUGAAAGCAUUGAUUAUACUAGAAGUUCAUGUUCAAGUUUAAAGUAAAGUAAAUAUGCGAAGACUGUUUUUUGUUAUCAAACCUAAUUCCCUUUUUUUUCCUCCAUUUUUUUUUUUCUCAGCUUCUGAGUUCAUGAAAUUACAGUUACAUGGAAUUUGGCCCACAGGAAAUCUCUUUUAGAAAAUCUUAUCCGGUUUACUUCACAAUUUUUUUUUUAAAUGUGAAAAUUAAGAACAAUUGCAUGCUGUUGAUCAAGACAUCCAUGUUUAGCAAUUCAUCCUCUCAUUGAAAUAAAUGUAAAUGUUCCAUUUAUUUAAAAGUUUGCGAAUCUUAAGUAGAUGGCAAACAGAUCAAUAAGGUCCAAUAACAGAACAAAUUAAUGGCUAGUAUAUACUGAAAGAGAACUCAAGGGUAUAAAAUAAAAACAAAAUGAUCCAAACUGCAAAGCAUCAUGGCCAUGGCAAGGUCCUUAUUGUUGAACUGGAUGUCUUUCUUUGAUGUUAAUAGUCGUUGUACCCCCAAAAGAUCUUCCUGUUCCUUCUGAUAUCAAUUAUUCAUUCUAUCUAUCCUAUAAUCUGCACGGAAAACAGAGGAAUGUUAAAUACUGUAUGAAUGAUGAAAAUGAGAAAUGUGGUCUGUAUUAUUAUAUAUACUUACAUGAAACUAGAAGAGGCAAUUCAUUUAGUAAUAUGGUGGAGGAGGUGAAGGAGAGGAAGGGGGUGGUGACUUGUGGUGGUAGACUGGUGGUUGGGAUGAUGGAGAAGGUAGUGGUGGGGACUUAUAGUAAUAAGGAGGUUGAGGAGAUGGUGAUGGAGGAGGAGGUAAUUUAUAGUCGUAGUGAGGAGGGGGUGAUGGUGAAGGUAGUGGUGGUGACUUGUAGUAAUACCACGGAGGAAGAGAUGGAGAGGGAGCCAGAGGUGACAUCGGUGGUAGUGAUUUAUAGUAAUAAGGAGGCAGUGAUGAUGGAAAAGGUGGGAGCGGUGGCAGUGAUGAUGGAAAAGGUGGGAGCGGUGGCCGUGAUUUAUAGUAAUAAGGAGGUAGUGAUGAUGGAAAAGGUGGGGAUGCAAAAGUAUUAGGAUUGUGAGGCUCGUCUUCAGCAGCUACAUUAGCAGCAAUCAAGCACAAAGCCAAGGCACAAAUCAGGUGAGGCCAAAAAUUGGCCAUUUCCGGAACACGAGAAAAUUUCACUCCUGCAACUCAAGAACUUCUAUUUCUUAGAACAGAAGGGAUUUUGUGAAUGAUGCUUCAAGCUAGAGGCUCAGAGUUUAUAUAGUCAUCCUUUCCAUAAUUCUUUCAUUUGUUUAAUUAAUAGUCGUUGAAGCCUCC
This 34895-nucleotide long non-coding RNA is filed under the name Vitis vinifera (wine grape). RNAcentral's name for it is "long non-coding RNA (VVIN_LNC001688)". The record is from RNAcentral. Lineage: Eukaryota; Viridiplantae; Streptophyta; Magnoliopsida; Vitales; Vitaceae.